RNAcentral lists this ribosomal RNA (508 nucleotides) under uncultured bacterium. RNAcentral's name for it is "partial 16S ribosomal RNA". It matches the Rfam family "Bacterial small subunit ribosomal RNA", at positions 28 to 507 of the family's 1533-position model. The record is from RNAcentral.
GACGAACGCUGGCGGCGUGCCUAAUACAUGCAAGUCGAACGCUUCUUUCCUCCCGAGUGCUUGCACUCAAUUGGAAAGAGGAGUGGCGGACGGGUGAGUAACACGUGGGUAACCUACCCAUCAGAGGGGGAUAACGCUUGGAAACAGGUGCUAAUACCGCAUAACAGUUUAUGCCGCAUGGCAUAAGAGUGAAAGGCGCUUUCGGGUGUCGUUGAUGGAUGGACCCGCGGUGCAUUAGCUAGUUGGUGAGGUAACGGCUCACCAAGGCCACGAUGCAUAGCCGACCUGAGAGGGUGAUCGGCCACACUGGGACUGAGACACGGCCCAGACUCCUACGGGAGGCAGCAGUAGGGAAUCUUCGGCAAUGGACGAAAGUCUGACCGAGCAACGCCGCGUGAGUGAAGAAGGUUUUCGGAUCGUAAAACUCUGUUGUUAGAGAAGAACAAGGACGUUAGUAACUGAACGUCCCCUGACGGUAUCUAACCAGAAAGCCACGGCUAACUACGUG